GUCGUAACAAGGUUUCCGUAGGUGAACCUGCGGAAGGAUCAUUGACACAAAACAAUUUUUUUUUUCGUGCAAACGGAAAAAAAAAAAAAACUUUCCACCGCGUAUGCAGAACCUCGCCGAGUGGCUUUCAAGUCACAUCCGCGUUGUGUAUUCCGCUACUCAAUAAACUUUUAUUUUUCACCCACACACCAACCCUCGUUUGAAGCGUUUUCUAAAAAACGCAACAAAAAUAAAAACCAAAAGAUUUACCUUUCAACGAUGGAUCUCUUGGUUCCCGCAACGAUGAAGAACGCCGCGAAACGCGAUAUGUAAUGUGAAUUGCAGGAUUAAGUGAAUCAUCAAAUCUUUGAACGCAAAUUGCUGCUCGGGCCCUUGCGGCUUGAGCAUACCUGCUUCAGACUCGUUUAACAAAAUAAAAUAAAUUAUGCUGAGCGUUGCAAGCUUGCUUGGAUCGCUUCAAGAGCUAAACCAACAUGGGCCCGCUGAAUUUCAGAGGCACUGAGGUAAUUUAAAACUACCAAGGUGUCCUUCCGAAUGGGCCUCUCAAAAUACAGCUAGAGCUGAAGUCAGGCAAGAGGACCGGCUGAAUUUAAGCAUAUUACUAAGCCGAGGAAAAGAAACAAACUUGGAUUCCCCCAGUAACGGCGAGUGAAGCGGGACCAGCUCAACUUGAAAACCUGCCGCGCCCCGCGGUCGGAUUGUAGCCUGGGUGUGGGCCCUGGAGGUUGCGUCCGGUGUAAUUCGGUAUUGAGAUACCGAGCCGGAGAGGGUAACAGCCCCGUCACGUCGGAACGCACCUUCGCCUGGGCCCCUACCCGUGAGUCGUGUUGCUUGGGACUGCAGCGCCAAUCCGGAGGUAAUGUCCUUCGAAAGCUAAAUAUUUGCGGGAGACCGAUAGCGAACAAGUACCGUGAGGGAAAGAUGAAAAGAACUUUGAAAAGAAAGUGAAAUAGUACGUGAAAUCGUUGGAAGCAAGCGAAUCACUCUUCCUUCCCGUCGGCGGGCUCGCCCCGCCGCUCGGGGGCACGAUCGGUCUCUGGUCGGCUACGCGGCACGCCAACGGCUUCGGUCGCGGCGCUCUGCCCAGCCUUCCGGGGGCCGAGGCCAACCUACUUGCGGCGCGCCCUGCGUCUCCGGACGCUGCGCGCCCAGGAUCGUGCCUUGCUACCGGAGUGAUCCGACCCGUCUUGAAACACGGACCAAGGAGUCUAACAUGUGUGCGAGUGUUUGGGUGGCAAACCCCAACGCGCAGGUAACCCGAGAUUGCCCGAGCCCUUCACCGGGCGCAAGGCAGGCAGCGCGUUGACCUUCUGGUCGAUGCCUAGCAGGAGCAUACAUGCUGGGACCCGAAACAUGGUGAACUAUGCGUGA
Molecule: ribosomal RNA, 1371 nt
Filed under: Dictyocoryne truncatum
Lineage: Eukaryota; Polycystinea; Spumellaria; Spongodiscidae
Description: eukaryotic LSU rRNA
Rfam family: Eukaryotic large subunit ribosomal RNA (bases 557-1371)
Source: RNAcentral